Molecule: ribosomal RNA, 372 nt
Filed under: uncultured bacterium
Lineage: Bacteria
Description: bacterial SSU rRNA
Rfam family: Bacterial small subunit ribosomal RNA
Source: RNAcentral
UACGGAGGGUGCAAGCGUUAUCCGGAUUUACUGGGUUUAAAGGGUGCGUAGGUGGGCAGGUAAGUCAGUGGUGAAAUCUCCGGGCUUAACCCGGAAACUGCCAUUGAUACUAUCUGUCUUGAAUAUCCUGGAGGUGAGCGGAAUAUGUCAUGUAGCGGUGAAAUGCUUAGAUAUGACAUAGAACACCAAUUGCGAAGGCAGCUCACUACGGGAUUAUUGACACUGAGGCACGAAAGCGUGGGGAUCAAACAGGAUUAGAUACCCUGGUAGUCCACGCCCUAAACGAUGGAUACUCGACAUACGCGAUACACUGUGUGUGUCUGAGCGAAAGCAUUAAGUAUCCCACCUGGGAAGUACGAUCGCAAGAUUGAA